This 750-nucleotide ribosomal RNA is filed under the name uncultured bacterium. Its description in RNAcentral is "bacterial SSU rRNA". It matches the Rfam family "Bacterial small subunit ribosomal RNA", at positions 61 to 811 of the family's 1533-position model. The record is from RNAcentral.
GUCGAACGGUAGAGGGGGCAACCCCUCGAGAGUGGCGAACGGGUGAGUAAUAUAUCGGAACGUGCCCAGUCGUGGGGGAUAACGUAGCGAAAGUUACGCUAAUACCGCAUACGAUCUACGGAUGAAAGCGGGGGAUCGCAAGACCUCGCGCGAUUGGAGCGGCCGAUAUCAGAUUAGGUAGUUGGUGGGGUAAAGGCUCACCAAGCCAACGAUCUGUAGCUGGUCUGAGAGGACGACCAGCCACACUGGAACUGAGACACGGUCCAGACUCCUACGGGAGGCAGCAGUGGGGAAUUUUGGACAAUGGACGCAAGUCUGAUCCAGCCAUUCCGCGUGCAGGAUGAAGGCCCUCGGGUUGUAAACUGCUUUUGUACGGAACGAAAAGGUUUCCAUUAAUACUGGGAGCUCAUGACGGUACCGUAAGAAUAAGCACCGGCUAACUACGUGCCAGCAGCCGCGGUAAUACGUAGGGUGCAAGCGUUAAUCGGAAUUACUGGGCGUAAAGCGUGCGCAGGCGGUUAUGUAAGACAGAGGUGAAAUCCCCGGGCUCAACCUGGGAACUGCCUUUGUGACUGCAUAGCUAGAGUACGGUAGAGGGGGAUGGAAUUCCGCGUGUAGCAGUGAAAUGCGUAGAUAUGCGGAGGAACACCGAUGGCGAAAGCAAUCCCCUGGACCUGUACUGACGCUCAUGCACGAAAGCGUGGGAGCAAACAGGAUUAGAUACCCUGGUAGUCCACGCCCUAAACGAUG